Molecule: long non-coding RNA, 1304 nt
Organism: Folsomia candida
Lineage: Eukaryota; Metazoa; Arthropoda; Collembola; Entomobryomorpha; Isotomidae
Exons: 2
Source: RefSeq, a predicted model, not a curated record
AAUGCCUCGCCGAGUGCAUUUACGUAAAUCAAAUCGUUUAAAUUUAUUUUUGGCAACAGUUCUCAAGACUAACAUUGAACGAGCCAAAGCCAAUAAUAAUAAUAACCUCUGCUCAUGCUAAUUGUGCACCUUUACUGCUAACUAACUGGCUAUUAUUGGAGGACGGAACGGAUAUGGUCAUUUAUGGUCUAGGACAAUAAUGGUCUACGCCAGCACAAAACAUUACACACAAUCCACUUUACGAGUUCAUAUUGACAAAGUUCUUAAUUGGUAUGAAACCAAUUUUUUGAUCUAUUUAGCUUUAUUUUUAUGAUUUAUGAUCUGUCGACAUAAAUCAUAAAUGUUUCAAAAAUGAGGACCACAAUUCAAGAAUACCUCAGUGUAUAGGCAUGAUUUAACCAUGCAAUUAAUAACUUGAGUAACUCAAUUAACAAGUCUGGAAAUUAUUUGCUCAACUGUUGGUCAACUAAACCAGAUUUGCGGAUGUUUACCAAGGGUGCGUCAUCCAUUGAUAAAUAGAUUCCACUACAUAUUGGAACUAGUACUAGUUUAAAUACUGGGAAUUGUGUGGAUUUUUAAAAUGUGGUGUUCAAUUCCAGCAAUAAAUUUGGUACAUCCGUCCAUCAACCACAGACCCUCGUAAGUCAUUAGAGACGGGGCGACGGGCUAUCAAAAUAGGAAGUCUUCCAUUGUUUGUUAAUAUGUCGUAAUGUCGUUCAAUGAGCAGAGUCAAACACGACAAAUCGCCCCACUCAACUGUUAUCGAGCACUACAAACACAACAGUUUUUUGUCGAUUUUUUAAAUGUUUGUCUCACGGAAAGAUACAUUAAGCUUAAGAGUGAGUUGCGCCUCUGCGACGCCAGUGAUUCCAUCCAGUUUAUCAAAUAAUUUAUUUGUGGAUAGUAUGAAAUGAACUGAAUGACAUACUUUUUAUUUCCAGAUGUACAAACAAAUAUGUCCAAACCCAACAAAGUGGUGCUAAACUGCAUAGAUGAUCGUAGCCAAAACUUGAUGAUAUGUACCGAUGAGAUUAUGACCUGUUUCGUUGUAAUUAAACCAGAUAGGCUGGUCAGUCGGGACAUUUUUAACAGAUAACAUUCGUAGAAAAAAAAGCAACAACACAAGAACUAUUAAUUUCGUCACUGGAGCAAUAAAAACGCGCUAAAUAGUUUAAUGUACAUCCAUAUUGACUAUACUUCUCUGAGUAAAUUAAAUUUCGCAAGCUGUGGAAUUAGAGACUAUGGUUGAUCUGUUGUAAACUGUGCGAUGAAGUAACACAAUAAAUCUCGUGUGCUAAAAACUC